GAAAUCACUCAAACCUGACUGUUUCAAAACACACUGAUGUACAAAUAGGUUGAUUUACAUCCUCAAUAUUCAAUAGUUAACCUCCCUUACAAGUUACAACCUCUAUUCAUUCUAUUUCCUCUCGAAUACUGGACAACCUACAGACAUGACUUCAUCAUGAAAUGAUCAACGCAUAUUUCUAACUAACACCAAGCAGCAAUGACUUUGUUAUGAAUCAGAAACCAAAUGCAACAUUCACAAUAAACAGAUAAUCAAAUUACUCGCUGCAUAUCAUAACUUAGUUAAAACUGCAUUAGGUUAUAAACUCAAUCUGUUUAACAAAGCAGCUUAAUAUUUAUAUUAAGACUUAUAGUUUCAAUGGAAACUAAUGCUAUAGUUAUUCUAAAAGUGGAUUAGCCCUACACAUUAUUAGUAAGUAGAGCUGAUGCUGACCAACAAACAUUUCAGGACCGAACCUGUUCAACACACGAUAUCAUUGUGUUGCUCUAUGACACAACACACACUUCCUUAUGAUGUCACAAAGUUCUCAGUACUUCAGAUGUGAUGCAACAGCAGGGAGGUUAGAGUGGGUACAAGGCCAAACUUAUUGAUCGGUAAAAGUUUGCGUUUUUUCUUAUAGUCAAAAGUAAUCGCAUCUGAACAGUCUACGCAAAUGUAUUGAUUUUAUAUUCAAUUUUAGCACAGAAUUUCGAUUAUUAUACUGACAAAGAAAAAACUUAAAAAUAAGUUUGGAUAAACAGUUUUCUUAACAAAAACUAAAAAAAUAAGCGAAUUAUACAUAAAUCCCAGCCUUACUGGUGAGGUUUUCUCAGGUUAUGCUUUUAAAAUAUAUCUACGGGUCUGUACGUUUUAGAGCAGUGUAAACCUAUUACAACAGUCAGGGAUGCAGAGUUGAGUGGUUUUUACACAAAAUUAUUGUUAGUGUGUUAAAAGUGUGCACAAGACUGGGACAACAUGUGACUUUGGCAAAAAAAUGUUCCCCAAAAUUGAAAAUAAGACUAAGCAUAUAUUCUGCAACGAAAAUGAAUCAACACAAAUCUUGGGUUUUCCUGAUAACGCAAUCCAGCUCGAUCCGCAGCGUCACGUGACAGGACUUGAGAACAACAACAUUUGGAGAACGCUGCAGUCAAGCAUCGGCAAUGAGAGCAAAAUAUCGAGACCGUGAAAAUUUGCGACGGUUUACAAUGAACAACGAAUCGUACGCGAAGCAACGAAUACU
Molecule: non-coding RNA, 1219 nt
Organism: Ciona intestinalis (vase tunicate)
Lineage: Eukaryota; Metazoa; Chordata; Ascidiacea; Phlebobranchia; Cionidae
Source: RefSeq, a predicted model, not a curated record